This 301-nucleotide ribosomal RNA is filed under the name uncultured bacterium. Its description in RNAcentral is "partial 16S ribosomal RNA". It matches the Rfam family "Bacterial small subunit ribosomal RNA", at positions 509 to 809 of the family's 1533-position model. The record is from RNAcentral.
CAGUCGCCGCGGUAAUACGGAGGGAGCUAGCGUUGUUCGGAAUUACUGGGCGUAAAGCGCACGUAGGCGGCUUUGUAAGUUAGAGGUGAAAGCCUGGAGCUCAACUCCAGAAUUGCCUUUAAGGCUGCAUCGCUUGAAUCCGGGAGAGGUGAGUGGAAUUCCGAGUGUAGAGGUGAAAUUCGUAGAUAUUCGGAAGAACACCAGUGGCGAAGGCGGCUCACUGGACUGGUAUUGACGCUGAGGUGCGAAAGCGUGGGGAGCAAACAGGAUUAGAUACCCCGGUAGUCCCUGUCUCUUAUAA